CAGUAGCCGCGGUAAUACGAAGGGGGCUAGCGUUGUUCGGAAUUACUGGGCGUAAAGCGCACGUAGGCGGAUUUUUAAGUCAGGGGUGAAAUCCCGAGGCUCAACCUCGGAACUGCCUUUGAUACUGGAGAUCUUGAGUUCGGAAGAGGUUGGUGGAACAGCUAGUGUAGAGGUGAAAUUCGUAGAUAUUAGCUAGAACACCAGUGGCGAAGGCGGCCAACUGGUCCGAUACUGACGCUGAGGUGCGAAAGCGUGGGGAGCAAACAGGAUUAGAGACCCGCGUAGUCCCUGUCUCUUAUAU
This 301-nucleotide ribosomal RNA is filed under the name uncultured bacterium. RNAcentral describes it as "partial 16S ribosomal RNA". It matches the Rfam family "Bacterial small subunit ribosomal RNA", at positions 509 to 809 of the family's 1533-position model. The record is from RNAcentral.